This 369-nucleotide ribosomal RNA is filed under the name uncultured bacterium. Its description in RNAcentral is "bacterial SSU rRNA". It matches the Rfam family "Bacterial small subunit ribosomal RNA", at positions 143 to 507 of the family's 1533-position model. The record is from RNAcentral.
AUAACGUAGCGAAAGUUACGCUAAUACCGCAUAUUCUGUGAGCAGGAAAGCAAGGGAUCGCAAGACCUUGCGCUGAUUGAGCGGCCGAUGUCAGAUUAGCUAGUUGGUGAGGUAAAGGCUCACCAAGGCGACGAUCUGUAGCGGGUCUGAGAGGAUGAUCCGCCACACUGGAACUGAGACACGGUCCAGACUCCUACGGGAGGCAGCAGUGGGGAAUUUUGGACAAUGGGGGCAACCCUGAUCCAGCCAUGCCGCGUGAGUGAAGAAGGCCUUCGGGUUGUAAAGCUCUUUCGGCCGGGAAGAAAUCGUAUGGGCUAAUACCCUGUGCGGAUGACGGUACCGGCAUAAGAAGCACCGGCUAACUACGUG